CAGGAGUCGGGAACCCCGGGAACUGGGGAUAAUACCGGAUAGAUCAUCUGUGCUGGAAGGCUGGGUGGUUGAAACUUCCGGGGCUUUUGGAUGGGUCUGCGGCUGAUUAGGUUGUUGCCGGUGUAACGUACCGUCAAGCCUGUAAUCAGUACGGGUUGUGGGAGCAAGAGCCCGGAGAUGGAUUCUGAGACACGAAUCCAGGCCCUACGGGGCGCAGCAGGCGCGAAAACUCUACAAUGCAGGCAACUGCGAUAGGGGAACAUCGAGUGAUCCUCAUAUUGGGGGUCUGUCCACCCGUCUAAAAAACGGGUGUUAGCAAGGGCCGGGCAAGACCGGUGCCAGCCGCCGCGGUAAUACCGGCGGCUCGAGUGGUGGCCGAUAUUAUUGAGUCUAAAGGGUCCGUAGCCGGCUUUGCAAGUCUCUCGGGAAAUCCAGCGGCUUAACCGUUGGUCGUCCGGGGGGUACUACAUUGCUUGGGACUGGGAGAGGUAGGAGGUACUCAGGGGGUAGGAGUGAAAUCCUGUAAUCCUUUGGGGACCACCGGUGGCGAAGGCGUCCUACCAGAACAGGUCCGACGGUGAGGGACGAAAGCUAGGGGCACGAACCGGAUUAGAUACCCGGGUAGUCCUAGCCGUAAACGAUGCUCGCUAGGUGUCACAACAGUCGUGAAUUGUUGUGGUGCCGUAGGGAAGCCGUGAAGCGAGCCACUUGGGAAGUACGACCGCAAGGUUGAAACUUAAAGGAAUUGGCGGGGGAGCAC
RNAcentral lists this ribosomal RNA (760 nucleotides) under uncultured archaeon. RNAcentral describes it as "bacterial SSU rRNA". It matches the Rfam family "Archaeal small subunit ribosomal RNA", at positions 114 to 879 of the family's 1478-position model. The record is from RNAcentral.